RNAcentral lists this ribosomal RNA (524 nucleotides) under uncultured cyanobacterium. Its description in RNAcentral is "bacterial SSU rRNA". It matches the Rfam family "Bacterial small subunit ribosomal RNA", at positions 115 to 656 of the family's 1533-position model. The record is from RNAcentral. Lineage: Bacteria; Bacillati; Cyanobacteriota.
ACGUGAGAAACCAACCCCGGUCUCUGGGAUAACAGUUGGAAACGACUGCUAAUACUGGAUGUCGUCGUACCCUCGCAUGGGGGGAUGACGAAAGGGUUACCGGAUCGGGACGGUCUCGCGGCUUAUCAGCUUGUUGGGGAGGUAACGGCUCACCAAGGCUUCGACGGGUAGCUGGUCUGAGAGGAUGAUCAGCCACACUGGGACUGAGACACGGCCCAGACUCCUACGGGAGGCAGCAGUGGGGAAUCUUGCGCAAUGGGCGAAAGCCUGACGCAGCAACGCCGCGUGCGGGAUGAAGGCCUUCGGGUUGUAAACCGCUUUUAACAGGAACGAAAAUGACGGUACCUGUAGAAUAAGGUGCGGCCAACUACGUGCCAGCAGCCGCGGUGACACGUAGGCACCAAGCGUUGUCCGGAUUUAUUGGGCGUAAAGAGCUCGUAGGCGGUUCAGUAAGUCGGGUGUGAAAACUCUGGGCUUAACCCAGAGACGCCACUCGAUACUACUGUGACUAGAGUUCGGUAGGG